CAGCCGCCGCGGUAAUGCAGAGGAUGCAAGCGUUAUCCGGAAUUAUUGGGCGUAAAGGGCUCGCAGGCGGUUUCUUAAGUCUGAUGUGAAAGCCCCCGGCUCAACCGGGGAGGGUCAUUGGAAACUGGGAAACUUGAGUGCAGAAGAGGAGAGUGGAAUUCCACGUGUAGCGGUGAAAUGCGUAGAGAUGUGGAGGAACACCAGUGGCGAAGGCGACUCUCUGGUCUGUAACUGACGCUGAGGAGCGAAAGCGUGGGGAGCGAACAGGAUUAGAUACCCCCGUAGUCCCUGUCUCUUAUAC
Molecule: ribosomal RNA, 301 nt
Filed under: uncultured bacterium
Lineage: Bacteria
Description: partial 16S ribosomal RNA
Rfam family: Bacterial small subunit ribosomal RNA
Source: RNAcentral